CCCCUGGAGCAGAUUAUCCCGGUGGUAUAAAGAGCCCGCUGCUACCGCAGUUGGCUUAGAGUUGACCAUGCAGUGGUUCAGCCCCCUGUUCCUGGCUGUGCUCCUUCUGUCGCUGCUGGCGGCAGCCUCAGGCGCCCCUGAGGCUUGCUGCGGCGGCGGCGGUGGCGGCGGCGGCGGCGGUGGUUUCGGCGGCGGCGGCGGCGGCGGCGGUGGCGGUGGACGCUAAAUGAAGCACCGCCUCAAAGGUGUAUAUUAUUACGAGCGUAAGCCUCCGGAUGCCUGUAGGUCUCUGUAUACAGAUCAAUCGAUACCUAUCGAUCCUGGUAGACAGAGGCUCGGAAGCUGGAUGGGCUUACCAGUGCACUGAUUGUGCUGUGAAAUAUACACCAGAAACCUA
Molecule: long non-coding RNA, 397 nt
Organism: Amphibalanus amphitrite
Lineage: Eukaryota; Metazoa; Arthropoda; Thecostraca; Balanomorpha; Balanidae
Exons: 2
Source: RefSeq, a predicted model, not a curated record